Molecule: small nucleolar RNA, 69 nt
Organism: Protopterus annectens (West African lungfish)
Lineage: Eukaryota; Metazoa; Chordata; Ceratodontiformes; Protopteridae
Product: small nucleolar RNA SNORD63
Exons: 1
Source: RefSeq, a predicted model, not a curated record
GUGCUGUGAUGAUUUUGCCAAAACAUCAUUCUGAUGUAGAUGGCGUUAACUUUUCAGUUACUGAGCACA